RNAcentral lists this long non-coding RNA (608 nucleotides) under Elaeis guineensis (African oil palm). Its description in RNAcentral is "long non-coding RNA (EGUI_LNC075765)". Lineage: Eukaryota; Viridiplantae; Streptophyta; Magnoliopsida; Arecales; Arecaceae. The record is from RNAcentral.
GAGGAGUCUUGAGGAUAUUGUGGAAGGUCGAAUGUUGGAGGAGUCCGACUGUAGAAGUUCAGACGAAGACCAGUUGUCGUGGAAGUUUAGAUGGAGACUUCUUAUUAUAGAAGCUCGGACGAAGAUUGGCUGCCGUAAAAGCUCAGAUGGAGACUUCUUAUUGUAGAAGUCUCGCUGCUAGAGAAGCUCGAUCAUUGACGAAGUUCGAAAGAAGUUUGGAGUAGAGAUCCAACUGGUGGAGUCCGUCCGUUGUGAGAGUUCGUCUGGAAUCCAGCCGCUAUAGAAGUUCGACUGGGAUCCGACUCUUGUUGGAGCUCGGAUGAAAUUCGAAAGGUGGUCCACCAUCGUAGAAACUUAGAUGGAGUCUGAUUACUAUAGAAGUCCUGCUAUUGGAGAAGCUCGGACAUUGAUGAAGUUUGAAAGAAAUUUGGAGUAAAAUCGUUCGUGGUCAGAAGAAGUCUGGAAGAGAUUCGGAGAAUAGUCGAUCAUUACAAAAAAUUGGCUGAUAGUGAAGCUCAGAGAGCAUUUGGAGCAGUCUGGUUGAUGAAUGGAGGAGCCCAUUAUUGGAGAAGUUCGGAUGGUAUUAUGGAAGCUCGGACGGUCGGGGG